GACGAACGCUGGCGGCGUGCCUAAUACAUGCAAGUAGAACGCUGAGAACUGGUGCUUGCACCGGUUCAAGGAGUUGCGAACGGGUGAGUAACGCGUAGGUAACCUACCUCAUAGCGGGGGAUAACUAUUGGAAACGAUAGCUAAUACCGCAUAAGAGAGACUAACGCAUGUUAGUAAUUUAAAAGGGGCAAUUGCUCCACUAUGAGAUGGACCUGCGUUGUAUUAGCUAGUUGGUGAGGUAAAGGCUCACCAAGGCGACGAUACAUAGCCGACCUGAGAGGGUGAUCGGCCACACUGGGACUGAGACACGGCCCAGACUCCUACGGGAGGCAGCAGUAGGGAAUCUUCGGCAAUGGGGGCAACCCUGACCGAGCAACGCCGCGUGAGUGAAGAAGGUUUUCGGAUCGUAAAGCUCUGUUGUUAGAGAAGAAUGAUGGUGGGAGUGGAAAAUCCACCAAGUGACGGUAACUAACCAGAAAGGGACGGCUAACUACGUGCCAGCAGCCGCGGUAAUACGUAGGUCCCGAGCGUUGUCCGGAUUUAUUGGGCGUAAAGCGAGCGCAGGCGGUUUUUUAAGUCUGAAGUUAAAGGCAUUGGCUCAACCAAUGUACGCUUUGGAAACUGGAGAACUUGAGUGCAGAAGGGGAGAGUGGAAUUCCAUGUGUAGCGGUGAAAUGCGUAGAUAUAUGGAGGAACACCGGUGGCGAAAGCGGCUCUCUGGUCUGUAACUGACGCUGAGGCUCGAAAGCGUGGGGAGCAAACAGG
RNAcentral lists this ribosomal RNA (765 nucleotides) under uncultured Streptococcus sp. Its description in RNAcentral is "bacterial SSU rRNA". It matches the Rfam family "Bacterial small subunit ribosomal RNA", at positions 28 to 776 of the family's 1533-position model. Lineage: Bacteria; Bacillati; Bacillota; Bacilli; Lactobacillales; Streptococcaceae. The record is from RNAcentral.